AUGUACGGAACUCGCCAGAGAUGGCUUGGUGCUCGAAAGAGAACCGUAACACAGGUGCUGCAUGGCUGUCGUCAGCUCGUGUCGUGAGAUGUUGGUUAAGUCCCGCCAACGAGCGCAACCCUCGUCAUUAGUUGCUACAUUUAGUUGGGCACUCUAAUGAGGACUGGCCGGGUGACAAACCGGAGGAAGGUGGGGAUGACGUCAAGUCCUCAUGGCCCUUAUAGGUAGGGCUACACACGUCAUACAAGUGGAUGGUACAAAGGGUCGCCAACCCGCGAGGGGGAGCCAAUCCCAUAAAGCCAUUCGUAGUCCGGAUCGCAGUCUGCAACUCGACUGCGUGAAGUCGGAAUCGCUAGUAAUCGUGGAUCAGAAUGUCACGGUGAAUACGUUCCCGGGUCUU
RNAcentral lists this ribosomal RNA (400 nucleotides) under uncultured Polaromonas sp. Its description in RNAcentral is "bacterial SSU rRNA". It matches the Rfam family "Bacterial small subunit ribosomal RNA", at positions 986 to 1382 of the family's 1533-position model. The record is from RNAcentral. Lineage: Bacteria; Pseudomonadati; Pseudomonadota; Betaproteobacteria; Burkholderiales; Comamonadaceae.